GUUUGCCUACGGAGGCAGCAGUGAGGAAUAUUGGUCAAUGGGCGCGAGCCUGAACCAGCCAAGUCGCGUGAGGGAGGACGGCCCUACGGGUUGUAAACCUCUUUUGCCGGGGAGCAACGGGCGCCACGUGUGGCGUCACUGAGAGUACCCGGAGAAAAAGCAUCGGCUAACUCCGUGCCAGCAGCCGCGGUAAUACGGAGGAUGCGAGCGUUAUCCGGAUUUAUUGGGUUUAAAGGGUGCGCAGGCGGUCUGUUAAGUCAGCGGUCAAAGCCCGGGGCUCAACCCCGGCCCGCCGUUGAAACUGG
Molecule: ribosomal RNA, 305 nt
Filed under: uncultured bacterium
Lineage: Bacteria
Description: bacterial SSU rRNA
Rfam family: Bacterial small subunit ribosomal RNA
Source: RNAcentral